RNAcentral lists this unclassified non-coding RNA (282 nucleotides) under uncultured fungus. RNAcentral's name for it is "partial contains 5.8S ribosomal RNA, internal transcribed spacer 2, and large subunit ribosomal RNA". The record is from RNAcentral. Lineage: Eukaryota; Fungi.
AACGCACAUUGCGCCCCUUGGUAUUCCAUGGGGCAUGCCUGUUCGAGCGUCAUCUAAACCCUCAAGCCUCUUGGUGUUGCCCUGCCUCUGGCAAGGGCUCCGCCUGGCUUGGUGUUGGGCGCCUGUCCCCGCUCUCCGCGCGGACUCGCCCCGAAUGCAUUGGCAGCGGCCUCCCGGCUCCUCGCGCAGCACAGCGCUCAGAGGGGCGCGGCCCGGCGCGCGUCCAGCAAGCGAACCUCCAAGUUUGACCUCGGAUCAGGUAGGGAUACCCGCUGAACUUAA